This 446-nucleotide ribosomal RNA is filed under the name uncultured bacterium. RNAcentral describes it as "partial 16S ribosomal RNA". It matches the Rfam family "Bacterial small subunit ribosomal RNA", at positions 354 to 796 of the family's 1533-position model. The record is from RNAcentral.
GUAGGGAAUAUUGGACAAUGGGGGGAACCCUGAUCCAGCCAUGCCGCGUGGAGGAAGACUGCCCUCUGGGUUGUAAACUCCUUUUAUAUGGGAAGAACCGUCCUCAUUAAUGAGUGACCUGACGGUACCAUAGGAAUAAGCACCGGCUAACUCCGUGCCAGCAGCCGCGGUAAUACGGAGGGUGCAAGCGUUAUCCGGAUUCACUUGGUUUAAAGGGUGCGUAGGCGGAUAAAUAAGUCAGUGGUGAAAUCAACGGGCUCAACCUGUUAACUGCCAUUGAUACUGUGUAUCUUGAAUAUGAGAGAGGUAGGCGGAAUGUUGCAUGUAGCGGUGAAAUGCUUAGAUAUGCUACGGAACACCGAUUGCGAAGGCAGCUUACUAUUUCGUAAUUGACGCUGAGGCACGAAAGCGUGGGUAGCGAACAGGAUUAGAUACCCGAGUAGUCC